This 73-nucleotide transfer RNA is filed under the name Cryptomonas curvata. RNAcentral's name for it is "tRNA-Ala". It matches the Rfam family "tRNA". Rfam says of the family: Transfer RNA (tRNA) molecules are approximately 80 nucleotides in length. Their secondary structure includes four short double-helical elements and three loops (D, anti-codon, and T loops). The record is from RNAcentral. Lineage: Eukaryota; Cryptophyceae; Cryptomonadales; Cryptomonadaceae.
GGGCAGUUAGCUUAUUUUGGUAAAGCAUAUACUUCGCAAGUGUAAUUAGAGGGUUCGAUUCCCCCACUGUCCA